This 1267-nucleotide ribosomal RNA is filed under the name uncultured bacterium. RNAcentral's name for it is "bacterial SSU rRNA". It matches the Rfam family "Bacterial small subunit ribosomal RNA", at positions 94 to 1372 of the family's 1533-position model. The record is from RNAcentral.
AGUGGCGGACGGGUGAGUAACGCGUGGGCAACCUGCCUCAUACAGGGGGAUAACAGUUAGAAAUAGCUGCUAAUACCGCAUAAGCGCACAGUACCGCAUGGUACGGUGUGAAAAACUCCGGUGGUAUGAGAUGGACCCGCGUCUGAUUAGCUAGUUGGUGGGGUAAAGGCCUACCAAGGCGACGAUCAGUAGCCGGCCUGAGAGGGUGACCGGCCACAUUGGGACUGAGACACGGCCCAAACUCCUACGGGAGGCAGCAGUGGGGAAUAUUGCACAAUGGGGGAAACCCUGAUGCAGCAACGCCGCGUGAGUGAAGAAGUAUUUCGGUAUGUAAAGCUCUAUCAGCAGGGAAGAAAAAAGACGGUACCUGACUAAGAAGCACCGGCUAAAUACGUGCCAGCAGCCGCGGUAAUACGUAUGGUGCAAGCGUUAUCCGGAUUUACUGGGUGUAAAGGGAGCGUAGACGGCAUGGCAAGUCUGAAGUGAAAAUCCGGGGCUCAACCCCGGAACUGCUUUGGAAACUGUCAAGCUAGAGUGCAGGAGAGGUAAGCGGGAAUUCCUGGUGUAGCGGUGAAAUGCGUAGAUAUCAGGAGGGAACACCGGUGGCGAAGGCGGCUUACUGGACUGUUAACUGACGUUGAGGCUCGAAAGCGUGGGGGAGCAAACCAGGAUUAGAUACCCUGGUAGUCCACGCUGUAAACGAUGAUCACUAGGUGUUGGGGAGUAUGGCUCCUCGGUGCCGCAGCAAACGCAAUAAGUGAUCCACCUGGGGAGUACGUUCGCAAGAAUGAAACUCAAAGGAAUUGACGGGGACCCGCACAAGCGGUGGAGCAUGUGGUUUAAUUCGAAGCAACGCGAAGAACCUUACCUGGUCUUGACAUCGAUCUAAAGCAUGAGUAAUGUCAUGUGACCCUUCGGGGGAGAGAAGACAGGUGGUGCAUGGUUGUCGUCAGCUCGUGCCGUGAGGUGUCGGCUUAAGUGCCAUAACGAGCGCAACCCCCAUUGAUAGUUGCCAUCGAGUCAAGUCGGGCACUCUAUCGAGACUGCCGGCGCAAGCUGUGAGGAAGGCGGGGAUGACGUCAAAUCAGCACGGUCCUUACGUCCGGGGCGACACACGUGUUACAAUGGCAGGUACAGAGGGCAGCCAUCUGGCGACAGAGUGCGAAUCUCCAAAACCUGUCUCAGUUCGGAUCGGAGUCUGCAACUCGACUCCGUGAAGCUGGAUUCGCCAGUAAUCGCGCAUCAGCCAUGGCGCGGUGAAUACGUU